CGGUGAGGACGACCUCACCCCUGACCGGGGCAAGCAGUUUACGGGACGACCCGA
Molecule: non-coding RNA, 54 nt
Filed under: Paracoccus halophilus
Lineage: Bacteria; Pseudomonadati; Pseudomonadota; Alphaproteobacteria; Rhodobacterales; Paracoccaceae
Description: Guanidine-II sequence
Rfam family: Guanidine-II riboswitch aptamer (mini-ykkC)
About the family: Simpler in structure and has fewer highly conserved nucleotide positions than the ykkC-yxkD leader. Despite this each of its two stem-loop structures directly bind free guanidine. Therefore, mini-ykkC RNA motif represents a distinct class of guanidine-sensing RNAs.
Source: Rfam by way of RNAcentral